CCUGCUAGCACAGGGGUAGAGAAACCAGCCGUAACCUAAGGGUGCAUGCAUGGUUGGUAACGACCAUGUGUGAAGCCACC
Molecule: non-coding RNA, 80 nt
Organism: Candidatus Burkholderia brachyanthoides
Lineage: Bacteria; Pseudomonadati; Pseudomonadota; Betaproteobacteria; Burkholderiales; Burkholderiaceae
Source: Rfam